RNAcentral lists this ribosomal RNA (460 nucleotides) under uncultured bacterium. RNAcentral's name for it is "partial 16S ribosomal RNA". It matches the Rfam family "Bacterial small subunit ribosomal RNA", at positions 338 to 795 of the family's 1533-position model. The record is from RNAcentral.
CCUACGGGAGGCAACAGUGAGGAAUAUUGGUCAAUGGACGAGAGUCUGAACCAGCCAAGUAGCGUGAAGGAUGACUGCCCUAUGGGUUGUAAACUUCUUUUAUAUGGGAAUAAAAUGUUCCACGUGUGGGAUUUUGUAUGUACCAUAUGAAUAAGGAUCGGCUAACUCCGUGCCAGCAGCCGCGGUAAUACGGAGGAUCCGAGCGUUAUCCGGAUUUAUUGGGGUUAAAGGGAGCGUAGGUGGAUUGUUAAGUCAGUUGUGAAAGUUUGCGGCUCAACCGUAAAAUUGCAGUUGAAACUGGUAGUCUUGAGUACAGUAGAGGUGGGCGGAAUUCGUGGUGUAGCGGUGAAAUGCUUAGAUAUCACGAAGAACUCCGAUUGCGAAGGCAGCUCACUGGACUGCAACUGACACUGAGGCUCGAAAGUGUGGGUAUCAAACAGGAUUAGAUACCCCUGUAGUC